RNAcentral lists this non-coding RNA (83 nucleotides) under Pseudomonas sp. M47T1. The record is from RNAcentral. Lineage: Bacteria; Pseudomonadati; Pseudomonadota; Gammaproteobacteria; Pseudomonadales; Pseudomonadaceae.
UGUCAUGGCGGGUUGCGCGUGGACUUCUUCGGAAGUGCCGGUCCUACUACCGGUCCGCCAACCGUGCGCAAUCCGCCACCCAA